UGGCCAGGCAAGUCCGUCGGGAAAUCCAACGGCUCAACCGUUGGGCGGCCGGCGGAAACUGCGUGGCUUGGGACCGGAAGGCUCGAGGGGUACGUCCGGGGUAGGAGUGAAAUCCCGUAAUCCUGGACGGACCACCGAUGGCGAAAGCACCUCGAGAAGACGGAUCCGACAGUGAGGGACGAAAGCUGGGGUCUCGAACCGGAUUAGAUACCCGGGUAGUCCCAGCCGUAAACGAUGCCAGUUAGGUGUGGCGCAGGCUACGAGCCUGCGCUGUGCCGUAGGGAAGCCGUGAAGUGAGCCGCCUGGGAA
RNAcentral lists this ribosomal RNA (309 nucleotides) under uncultured archaeon. RNAcentral's name for it is "bacterial SSU rRNA". It matches the Rfam family "Archaeal small subunit ribosomal RNA", at positions 526 to 834 of the family's 1478-position model. The record is from RNAcentral.